UACGGAGGGAGCUAGCGUUGUUCGGAAUUACUGGGCGUAAAGCGCGCGUAGGCGGCUUUGUAAGUUAGAGGUGAAAGCCCGGGGCUCAACUCCGGAAUUGCCCUUAAGACUGCAUCGCUAGAAUCCGGGAGAGGUGAGUGGAAUUCCGAGUGUAGAGGUGAAAUUCGUAGAUAUUCGGAAGAACACCAGUGGCGAAGGCGGCUCACUGGACCGGUAUUGACGCUGAGGUGCGAAAGCGUGGGGAGCAAACAGG
Molecule: ribosomal RNA, 253 nt
Filed under: uncultured bacterium
Lineage: Bacteria
Description: partial 16S ribosomal RNA
Rfam family: Bacterial small subunit ribosomal RNA
Source: RNAcentral